RNAcentral lists this ribosomal RNA (237 nucleotides) under uncultured bacterium. RNAcentral describes it as "partial 16S ribosomal RNA". It matches the Rfam family "Bacterial small subunit ribosomal RNA", at positions 99 to 334 of the family's 1533-position model. The record is from RNAcentral.
CGAACGGGUGAGUAACGCGUGAGGAACCUGCCUCAAAGAGGGGGACAACAGUUGGAAACGACUGCUAAUACCGCAUAAGCCCACAGCUCGGCAUCGAGCAGAGGGAAAAGGAGCAAUCCGCUUUGAGAUGGCCUCGCGUCCGAUUAGCUAGUUGGUGAGGUAACGGCCCACCAAGGCGACGAUCGGUAGCCGGACUGAGAGGUUGAACGGCCACAUUGGGACUGAGACACGGCCCAG